Molecule: ribosomal RNA, 301 nt
Filed under: uncultured bacterium
Lineage: Bacteria
Description: partial 16S ribosomal RNA
Rfam family: Bacterial small subunit ribosomal RNA
Source: RNAcentral
CAGUAGCCGCGGUAAUACGAAGGGUGCAAGCGUUAAUCGGAAUUACAGGGCGUAAAGCGUGCGUAGGCGGUUUGUUAAGUCUGCUGUGAAAUCCCCGGGCUCAACCUGGGAAUGGCAGUGGAUACUGGCAAGCUAGAGUGUGUCAGAGGAUGGUGGAAUUCCCGGUGUAGCGGUGAAAUGCGUAGAGAUCGGGAGGAACAUCAGUGGCGAAGGCGGCCAUCUGGGACAACACUGACGCUGAGGCACGAAAGCGUGGGGAGCAAACAGGAUUAGAUACCCGCGUAGUCCCUGUCUCUUAUAC